GUGGGGAAUCUUCCGCAAUGGACGAAAGUCUGACGGAGCAACGCCGCGUGAGUGAUGAAGGUCUUCGGAUUGUAAAGCUCUGUUAAUCGGGACGAAAGAGCCUAGUGUGAAUAAUGCUAGGAAGUGACGGUACCGGAAUAGAAAGCCACGGCUAACUACGUGCCAGCAGCCGCGGUAAUACGUAGGUGGCAAGCGUUGUCCGGAAUUAUUGGGCGUAAAGCGCGCGCAGGCGGAUCUGCCAGUCUGUCUUAAAAGUUCGGGGCGUAACCCCGUGAUGGGAUGGAAACUACAGAUCUAGAGUAUCGGAGAGGAAAGUGGAAUUCCUAGUGUAGCGGUGAAAUGCGUAGAUAUUAGGAAGAACACCAGUGGCGAAGGCGACUUUCUGGACGAAAACUGACGCUGAGGCGCGAAAGCCAGGGGAGCGAACGGGAUUAGAUACCCUUGUAGUCC
RNAcentral lists this ribosomal RNA (450 nucleotides) under uncultured bacterium. RNAcentral's name for it is "partial 16S ribosomal RNA". It matches the Rfam family "Bacterial small subunit ribosomal RNA", at positions 354 to 796 of the family's 1533-position model. The record is from RNAcentral.